RNAcentral lists this transfer RNA (72 nucleotides) under Bos taurus (domestic cattle). It matches the Rfam family "tRNA". Rfam says of the family: Transfer RNA (tRNA) molecules are approximately 80 nucleotides in length. Their secondary structure includes four short double-helical elements and three loops (D, anti-codon, and T loops). Lineage: Eukaryota; Metazoa; Chordata; Mammalia; Artiodactyla; Bovidae. The record is from Rfam by way of RNAcentral.
UCCCUGGUGGCUCAGAAGGUAAAGCGUCUGCCUGCAAUGCGGGAGACCUGGGUUGGAUUCCUGGGUCGGGAA